This 616-nucleotide long non-coding RNA is filed under the name Felis catus (domestic cat). RNAcentral's name for it is "lncRNA (ENSFCAG00000049582.1)". Lineage: Eukaryota; Metazoa; Chordata; Mammalia; Carnivora; Felidae. The record is from RNAcentral.
AUGGGGAAAAGUCACUGUGCCAGCUGCCUUCUUACAAGGCAUCUUCUUCCUAGGAUGUUUCCCAGGAGACCAGCUCGCUAUAGUUGUGCGAACGCAGUGAAGGGGUCCAAAGGACUGGUCUCCAACAGCUACAAACCAUCUAAUAUGCAAACAGACAUGAAAAAAUCUAACAGAUCUCCCGAGAGGUACUUACCCUGGGACCACUGAGAAGGCAGUGAGAAAUGGGACCUGAAUCCCCUCAGGGGAACCCAUGGUAAUGAAGGUGAUAUUCCCUGCAGAGAAGAGGGCUUCAGGGUGAAGCAGAGGUUCCUAGCAGGCUGAUCUAGAUUGCCUCCCAGCCUUCUGUGGAUCAGGGAUUUUAAAAAUUGUGUUCAACGAAUCGUGACAGGGGAAAGUGCAUGAAUCACCAAAACCUUUUUUCCCGCAGGGUUUUCCCCAAGUCUCCAUGUCCAGUGUGGGACCUCAAACCCAUGACCCCAAGAUCAACUCAUAUGUUCCUCCAACUGAGCUGGUGAGGUGCCCCACCAGAGAUUUUCUAAAAAGCAAAAGUAAUAUGGAGGAAUCUACCUUACCAGAUUUUAAAUGUGUUAAAAAUAAAUAGUAUACAUAAGAAACA